RNAcentral lists this ribosomal RNA (242 nucleotides) under uncultured Actinomycetales bacterium. RNAcentral describes it as "partial 16S ribosomal RNA". It matches the Rfam family "Bacterial small subunit ribosomal RNA", at positions 89 to 334 of the family's 1533-position model. Lineage: Bacteria; Bacillati; Actinomycetota; Actinomycetes; Actinomycetales. The record is from RNAcentral.
ACUCGAGUGGCGAACGGGUGAGUAGCACGUGGGUGAUCUGCCCUGCACUUCGGGAUAAGCCUGGGAAACUGGGUCUAAUACCGGAUAGGAGCCAUUUUUAGUGUGAUGGUUGGAAAGUUUUUUCGGUGUAGGAUGAGCUCGCGGCCUAUCAGCUUGUUGGUGGGGUAAUGGCCUACCAAGGCGGCGACGGGUAGCCGGCCUGAGAGGGUGGACGGCCACAUUGGGACUGAGAUACGGCCCAG